Molecule: long non-coding RNA, 1190 nt
Organism: Pieris brassicae (large cabbage white)
Lineage: Eukaryota; Metazoa; Arthropoda; Insecta; Lepidoptera; Pieridae
Exons: 3
Source: RefSeq, a predicted model, not a curated record
CGAUAAGCAAUCUGCACGGUAUUUGCCAACCUUUCGUCCAACGUACAAUAAUGCAUUCAACGAGUGUUUAUGCUCGCAUAAAUCUUUGAUGGAAAAUCUGAGACGCGUCAUAAAUAAAGAAAAGUGUCGACCUGAGGGAGAACGCCGGUUAUACACCAACUUUCUAAGCUCGCAUUUAAAACUCGCUCGCACGGCGAAGGAAAGGAAAAUCAUACUGAGGAAACAUGAAUUAGAAACAAAUGAUAGAAAAAGUAAAUCACGAAACAGUACAACACGAACAGUAUUGGGACCGGAUCGAAAAGAUGUAGUGGAUUCGUGAUUAAAAAUCUUGCAAAUCGUGUAUGAAACUGGCAGCACUGGGUCUGAAUAAAAAAUCAACUGGCAGCCCUUGUACAUUCGUACAUUAGGUGCAUAAACCAGAUAUAAUGGAAAAAUAAUGGCCAUCCAGAUUAAUGUACUGUUUAAUUGAAAACAACUAUUUCUAGCAACGUAAACAACUUCGGUGCUACCAUUAAAACAAGAUAUAUUAAGGAAUUUGUGUAUUGUAUAAUUUCGAAAAAUAAUAUCAAAAUUAAGUCAAGCUGGUUUUAGAUACAGGUAUAUAAUGUCAAAUUACAGUCCUGCUACAUUUUUUGUAUAUUUUUGUGACUCUGAUACUGUCAGCACAUAUUAAAUAUUGUAAGAUGUCCUUCUUUCUACUAUAGUGAUGUAUCUUUUGUUUUCUAACAAACAAAUAAUAUAAUCCUGCCCCAAUGCUAGUCACGUGAUCUGUAUUACGAUAGUUAUUUGGGAUUAUCGUCCGUUCGUAGCUUAUGGAAUAAUAAAUAUAAUAUAAAAAUCUAAAUUAAAUUGUUGACGAUAAAGAUAAAAAUCUAUUUCUUACGAGAAUUAUGUCCGAACGAUUAAUAAAUUAUAAAAAAACAAUUAUGCGUCGAUAUAACACACGAUACAUAUAAAUAGCGAGAAACAUAAAAAACUACAAAACUAACAGCUAAAUCAAACCAGUAUUUAUGGAAUUUUUGAGUUCAAAUACCGUAUCAUUUCGCUUAACUCCCCGAGGCAAUCCUUCAAUUGGUUAUCCGAUAAUCACCUUUUAAUAUUUAGGAAUUGAAAUAUAUAGUUCUUUACAAUAAUAAUAAUGGUCUCCUGAGGUUUGUUCGAAUCUGAUACAUUUGUAUAUCGAUGCUAGC